GUCUCAAGCGUUGUUCGGAUUCAUUGGGCGUAAAGGGUGCGUAGGCGGCGCGGUAAGUCGGGUGUGAAAUCUCGGAGCUUAACUCCGAAACUGCAUUCGAUACUGCCGUGCUUGAGGACUGGAGAGGAGACUGGAAUUUACGGUGUAGCAGUGAAAUGCGUAGAGAUCGUAAGGAAGACCAGUGGCGAAGGCGGGUCUCUGGACAGUUCCUGACACUGAGGCACGAAGGCCAGGGGAGCAAACGGG
This 246-nucleotide ribosomal RNA is filed under the name uncultured bacterium. RNAcentral describes it as "partial 16S ribosomal RNA". It matches the Rfam family "Bacterial small subunit ribosomal RNA", at positions 531 to 776 of the family's 1533-position model. The record is from RNAcentral.